UACGUAGGGUGCAAGCGUUGUCCGGAAUUAUUGGGCGUAAAGAGCUCGUAGGCGGUUUGUCGCGUCGAAUGUGAAAACCCGGGGCUCAACCCCGGGCCUGCAUUCGAUACGGGCAGACUAGAGUUCGGUAGGGGAGUCUGGAAUUCCUGGUGUAGCGGUGAAAUGCGCAGAUAUCAGGAGGAACACCGGUGGCGAAGGCGGGAUCUCUGGGCCGAUACUGACGCUGAGGAGCGAAAGCGUGGGGAGCGAACAGG
RNAcentral lists this ribosomal RNA (254 nucleotides) under uncultured bacterium. Its description in RNAcentral is "partial 16S ribosomal RNA". It matches the Rfam family "Bacterial small subunit ribosomal RNA", at positions 524 to 776 of the family's 1533-position model. The record is from RNAcentral.